GACGAACGCUGGCGGCGUGCCUAAUACAUGCAAGUCGAACGCUGAAGGAGGAGCUUGCUUCUCUGGAUGAGUUGCGAACGGGUGAGUAACGCGUAGGUAACCUGCCUGGUAGCGGGGGAUAACUAUUGGAAACGAUAGCUAAUACCGCAUAAGAGUAGAUGUUGCAUGACAUUUGCUUAAAAGGUGCAAUUGCAUCACUACCAGAUGGACCUGCGUUGUAUUAGCUAGUUGGUGGGGUAACGGCUCACCAAGGCGACGAUACAUAGCCGACCUGAGAGGGUGAUCGGCCACACUGGGACUGAGACACGGCCCAGACUCCUACGGGAGGCAGCAGGAGGGAAUCUUCGGCAAUGGACGGAAGGCUGACCGAGCAACGCCGCGGGAGUGAAGAAGGUUUUCGGAUCGUAAAGCUCUGUUGUAAGAGAAGAACGAGUGUGAGAGUGGAAAGUUCACACUGUGACGGUAUCUUACCAGAAAGGGACGGCUAACUACGUG
This 495-nucleotide ribosomal RNA is filed under the name uncultured bacterium. RNAcentral's name for it is "partial 16S ribosomal RNA". It matches the Rfam family "Bacterial small subunit ribosomal RNA", at positions 28 to 507 of the family's 1533-position model. The record is from RNAcentral.